RNAcentral lists this ribosomal RNA (460 nucleotides) under uncultured bacterium. RNAcentral describes it as "partial 16S ribosomal RNA". It matches the Rfam family "Bacterial small subunit ribosomal RNA", at positions 338 to 795 of the family's 1533-position model. The record is from RNAcentral.
CCUACGGGAGGCAGCAGUGAGGAAUAUUGGUCAAUGGACGAGAGUCUGAACCAGCCAAGUAGCGUGAAGGAUGACUGCCCUAUGGGUUGUAAACUUCUUUUAUAUGGGAAUAAAAUGUUCCACGUGUGGGAUUUUGUAUGUACCAUAUGAAUAAGGAUCGGCUAACUCCGUGCCAGCAGCCGCGGUAAUACGGAGGAUCCGAGCGUUAUCCGGAUUUAUUGGGUUUAAAGGGAGCGUAGGUGGAUUGUUAAGUCAGUUGUGAAAGUUUGCGGCUCAACCGUAAAAUUGCAGUUGAAACUGGCAGUCUUGAGUACAGUAGAGGUGGGCGGAAUUCGUGGUGUAGCGGUGAAAUGCUUAGAGAUCACGAAGAACUUCGAUUGCGAAGGCAGUUCACUGGACUGCAACUGACACUGAGGCUCGAAAGUGUGGGUAUCAAACAGGAUUAGAUACCCGAGUAGUC